Molecule: microRNA, 23 nt
Filed under: Ornithorhynchus anatinus (platypus)
Lineage: Eukaryota; Metazoa; Chordata; Mammalia; Monotremata; Ornithorhynchidae
Description: oan-miR-7424-3p
Source: miRBase by way of RNAcentral
CUACGGGGCAGCUGGCAGCAUCC